UACGGGGGGGCAAGCGUUGUUCGGAAUUACUGGGCGUAAAGGGUUCGUAGGUGGCCAACUAAGUCAGACGUGAAAUCCCUCAGCUUAACUGGGAACUGCGUCUGAUACUGAUUGGCUUGAGUGCAGGAGAGGAACGCGGAAUUCCAGGUGUAGCGGUGAAAUGCGUAGAUAUCUGGAGGAACACCGGUGGCGAAGGCGGCGUUCUGGACUGCAACUGACACUGAGGAACGAAAGCCAGGGAGCAAACGGG
Molecule: ribosomal RNA, 250 nt
Filed under: uncultured bacterium
Lineage: Bacteria
Description: partial 16S ribosomal RNA
Rfam family: Bacterial small subunit ribosomal RNA
Source: RNAcentral